This 446-nucleotide ribosomal RNA is filed under the name uncultured bacterium. Its description in RNAcentral is "partial 16S ribosomal RNA". It matches the Rfam family "Bacterial small subunit ribosomal RNA", at positions 338 to 795 of the family's 1533-position model. The record is from RNAcentral.
CCUACGGGAGGCAGCAGUCGAGAAUCAUUCACAAUGGGGGAAACCCUGAUGGUGCGACGCCGCGUGGGGGAAUGAAGGUCUUCGGAUUGUAAACCCCUGUCAUGUGGGAGCAAAUUAAAAAGAUAGUACCACAAGAGGAAGAGACGGCUAACUCUGUGCCAGCAGCCGCGGUAAUACAGAGGUCUCAAGCGUUGUUCGGAAUCACUGGGCGUAAAGCGUGCGUAGGCGGUUUCGUAAGUCGUGUGUGAAAGGUGCGGGCUCAACCCGCGGACGGCACAUGAUACUGCGAGACUAGAGUAAUGGAGGGGGAACCGGAAUUCUCGGUGUAGCAGUGAAAUGCGUAGAUAGCGAGAGGAACACUCGUGGCGAAGGCGGUUUCCUGGACAUUAACUGACGCUGAGGCACGAAGGCCAGGGGAGCGAAAGGGAUUAGAUACCCGAGUAGUC